AGAAAAAAAUUUAAAAAAAUAAAAGUUGUUAUUUGGGCAAUAACUAUCUACAGCAGGAAAUAUGAAAUGAGGAUUAUACAGAGCUAUAACGUAAGCCAGUGAAAAGUGUCAUCAGAAUUAAUGACUUAACUGGGAAGAAUUGCCAAAUUAGCAUUACAAUAAGCUCAACAAUAACAACCAAGCCUUCAUCCCAACUAAUUUGGGAUUAGUUAUAUGGAUCAUUUUUCACCAUCUAGUUAGAUACAUAUAAUCUGAUGAUUAACAUAUUUGUUUAGCUUCACUUUAUAAGAUUCUUAAAUCCCCCGAGGCUAUAACAGUCCACAACAGAAAAUAUGAGCAACUCUCAUGCAGCAAUAAGGUAAAGCCAGUCAAAAUCUCACCAGCAGCAAACAAUGACUUUACCAACAAGGUGCAUGAAACAUUUUUUUUUU
RNAcentral lists this unclassified non-coding RNA (431 nucleotides) under Hevea brasiliensis (rubber tree). Lineage: Eukaryota; Viridiplantae; Streptophyta; Magnoliopsida; Malpighiales; Euphorbiaceae. The record is from RNAcentral.